UCCUAAAUGUAUUGGAAUUCCAGAAGCAUAAUUUUGUGUCUUCUGGGAAUGCAAUUAUUUUUUUAGGUUUGAAAGGUGAAACUAAAAAGAAACGUUUCCCUUUUGAGCAUAUGAAAUCUAUCUAUGAUCAUGACGUUUGUCGGAAAUUGUCUUGUGGAAAUUGAAAGUAGGUCGAGAGCAGAUAACGAGUUAGUUGUACUGAAUAGUCAACCCACCAUUUGUUGUUUUAAACAAAAGUGUUACAUUUUACGGAUUGUCUUUUUUUUUUUACAGUUUGACAAAUACCAAAGAAAAGUAAAAAACAUAACGUUAAAAUUCACAUAAUGUAAUUGAACUAAGAAUAUGCUAAGAAUCAUUAGUGAAUAUACACUUAAACAAAAAGGGGGAAAACUGAAGCCAAAUAUCUAAGAUACAUAGAUUGUCGAAAUCAACAUUUGAGUUGAGUGUCAUAAGAAAUAUAUAGUGGGGAAAAUAAAAUGGAAUAAAAUACAAUUAACAUGAGUAGGAGUCGGUUAAUAUUUUUAAUUGGUUAAAUGAAUAGCCAUAUAUUAUCAUAUUAUUUUUCAUUCGUAGAUACAUUUUGUACUUUAAGUUCGUAAGCUGCAUAACAGUGAAAAAGGACGCAAAAAAACCCAAACUAACAUAACUCCCAUUUAUAUAUUGUGCCGUUCACUGUUUUCAUAUUUGACAACAUGCAUACUCUAUAAGCCAACUGCUUUCCAACACAGGGAAUGUCUAUAAAUUGAAUAUUUAUAGUAAUUUUUCGUAAAGACAUUUUAUGUACAAUUUGAACCAAGGA
This 799-nucleotide long non-coding RNA is filed under the name Mytilus galloprovincialis (Mediterranean mussel). Lineage: Eukaryota; Metazoa; Mollusca; Bivalvia; Mytilida; Mytilidae. The record is from RNAcentral.